RNAcentral lists this ribosomal RNA (254 nucleotides) under uncultured bacterium. RNAcentral describes it as "partial 16S ribosomal RNA". It matches the Rfam family "Bacterial small subunit ribosomal RNA", at positions 524 to 777 of the family's 1533-position model. The record is from RNAcentral.
UACGAAGGGGGCUAGCGUUGCUCGGAAUUACUGGGCGUAAAGCGCACGUAGGCGGCUUUCUAAGUCGGGGGUGAAAUCCUGGAGCUCAACUCCAGAACUGCCUUCGAUACUGGAAAGCUCGAGUCCGGGAGAGGUGAGUGGAACUGCGAGUGUAGAGGUGAAAUUCGUAGAUAUUCGCAAGAACACCAGUGGCGAAGGCGGCUCACUGGCCCGAUACUGACGCUGAGGUGCGAAAGCGUGGGGAGCAAACAGGG